CCCCCAUUAUCGUUUUUGUUCGUCCCUCUUGACAGAUCUUAGAAAACACUUGAAGCAGAAACUCGUCCAAGAAAUCAUUCGAGACAGCCUAUGUAAAUAGGCCACUAGGAUUAUCAUAAUUAUACAGGGGUGCUUCUCACGGCAACGACCCGACUAGAGGGAAUAUUGUACGGCUUCAUCGGAUUUCACCAACCGGUAUAGGACUCAGUGGAUGACGAUGACGAUGGCGAUGACGAUGUAUUUGAGGAGGAUGGUGGUAACCUUCUAGUGGUAUCGGCAAUGGCGGCUGCGGCAGCUGCGGCCGCGGCCGCGGCAAC
Long non-coding RNA from Vespa crabro (European hornet), 317 nucleotides. RefSeq lists it as uncharacterized. NCBI's taxonomy places the organism in Eukaryota, Metazoa, Arthropoda, Insecta, Hymenoptera, Vespidae. The transcript has 3 exons. The record is from RefSeq and is a predicted model, not a curated record.